This 68-nucleotide small nuclear RNA is filed under the name Coturnix japonica (Japanese quail). Lineage: Eukaryota; Metazoa; Chordata; Aves; Galliformes; Phasianidae. The record is from RNAcentral.
GUGAACGAUACAGAGAAGAUGAACAUGGGCUCUGCACAAGGAUGACAUACGAAUAUUUUUUUUUUCUU